RNAcentral lists this long non-coding RNA (546 nucleotides) under Homo sapiens (human). RNAcentral describes it as "HSALNT0302249". Lineage: Eukaryota; Metazoa; Chordata; Mammalia; Primates; Hominidae. The record is from RNAcentral.
CUUAAGUGACUCAGAAACUCAGGGAAACAUGUUUACCAGUUUAUUAUAAAGGAUAUUACAAAGGAUACAGAUGAAGAGAUGCACAGGGCAAGGUAUAGGAAGAGGCAUGGACCUUGCAUGCCCUCCCUGGGUAUGCCAGCUCUCAGGAAACUCCAUAUGUUCAGCUGUCUGGAAGCUCCCUGAAUGAACCUUUGGACGUUUUAUGGAGAUUUCAUUGGAUAGGCGUGAUUGAUGACCAUGUACAAAAGUCUAUGGUUUCUUAGACACGCGUGGAUUCUCACAGCCACCACCACAGACAGUACAAGCAACAGUUCCAAUACUCCAGAGAACGCCCUCAUCUCUCCUCACCCCUGCCUUCUGGCAAGCAAUGAGCUGUUCUCUGUUCCUGUAUUUUUGCCUUUUCUAGAAUGCCAUAUAAAUGGAAUUAUAUAGAAUGUGCCCUUUUGGUACUGGCCUCUUUUGUUCAAAAGAAUAAUACCUUUGAGAUUCAUCCAUGCUGUUGUUUGAAUCAAGCAUGUUAACUUUUAUUGCUGAGUAGUAGUCCAU